AGUGGCGGACGGGUGAGUAACGCGUAAGAAUCUAACUUCAGGACGGGGACAACAGUUGGAAACGACUGCUAAUACCCGAUGUGCCGGGAGGUGAAACCUAAUUGGCCUGAAGAAGAGCUUGCGUCUGAUUAGCUAGUUGGUGGGGUAAGAGCCUACCAAGGCGACGAUCAGUAGCUGGUCUGAGAGGAUGAGCAGCCACACUGGGACUGAGACACGGCCCAGACUCCUACGGGAGGCAGCAGUGGGGGAUUUUCCGCAAUGGGCGAAAGCCUGACGGAGCAACGCCGCGUGAGGGAGGAAGGUCUUUGGAUUGUAAACCUCUUUUCUCAAGGAAGAAGUUCUGACGGUACUUGAGGAAUCAGCCUCGGCUAACUCCGUGCCAGCAGCCGCGGUAAUACGGGGGAGGCAAGCGUUAUCCGGAAUUAUUGGGCGUAAAGCGUCCGCAGGUGGUCAGCCAAGUCUGCUGUCAAAUCAGGUUGCUUAACGACCUAAAGGCGGUGGAAACUGGCAGACUAGAGAGCAGUAGGGGUAGCAGGAAUUCCCAGUGUAGCGGUGAAAUGCGUAGAGAUUGGGAAGAACAUCGGUGGCGAAAGCGUGCUACUGGGCUGUAUCUGACACUCAGGGACGAAAGCUAGGGGAGCGAAAGGGAUUAGAUACCCCUGUAGUCCUAGCCGUAAACGAUGGAUACUAGGCGUGGCUU
RNAcentral lists this ribosomal RNA (700 nucleotides) under uncultured bacterium. RNAcentral's name for it is "bacterial SSU rRNA". It matches the Rfam family "Bacterial small subunit ribosomal RNA", at positions 94 to 828 of the family's 1533-position model. The record is from RNAcentral.